GGUAAGAUAGCCCAGGGUUAGGCGGCGGGUUGUAGCCCCGAAGACGAGGGUUUAAGUCCCUCUCUUAUCA
RNAcentral lists this transfer RNA (70 nucleotides) under Discoglossus galganoi (Iberian painted frog). RNAcentral describes it as "tRNA-Tyr". It matches the Rfam family "tRNA". Rfam says of the family: Transfer RNA (tRNA) molecules are approximately 80 nucleotides in length. Their secondary structure includes four short double-helical elements and three loops (D, anti-codon, and T loops). Further hydrogen bonds mediate the characteristic L-shaped molecular structure. tRNAs have two regions of fundamental functional importance: the anti-codon, which is responsible for specific mRNA codon recognition, and the 3' end, to which the tRNAs corresponding amino acid is attached (by aminoacyl-tRNA synthetases). tRNAs cope with the degeneracy of the genetic code in two manners: having more than one tRNA (with a specific anti-codon) for a particular amino acid; and 'wobble' base-pairing, i.e. permitting non-standard base-pairing at the 3rd anti-codon position. The record is from RNAcentral. Lineage: Eukaryota; Metazoa; Chordata; Amphibia; Anura; Alytidae.